AGUGAACGCUGGCGGUAGGCCUAACACAUGCAAGUCGAACGGCAGCACAGUAAGAGCUUGCUCUUACGGGUGGCGAGUGGCGGACGGGUGAGGAAUACAUCGGAAUCUACUUUUUCGGGGGGGAUAACGUAGGGAAACUUACGCUAAUACCGCAUACGACCUACGGGUGAAAGCAGGGGAUCUUCGGACCUUGCGCGAUUGAAUGAGCCGAUGUCGGAUUAGCUAGUUGGCGGGGUAAAGGCCCACCAAGGCGACGAUCCGUAGCUGGUCUGAGAGGAUGAUCAGCCACACUGGAACUGAGACACGGUCCAGACUCCUACGGGAGGCAGCAGUAGGGAAUAUUGGACAAUGGGCGGAAGCCUGAUCCAGCCAUACCGCGUGGGUGAAGAAGGCCUUCGGGUUGUAAAGCCCUUUUGUUGGGAAAGAACAGCAGCAGGUUAAUACCCCGCUGUUCUGACGGUACCCAAAGAAUAAGCACCGGCUAACUUCGUG
Molecule: ribosomal RNA, 492 nt
Filed under: uncultured bacterium
Lineage: Bacteria
Description: partial 16S ribosomal RNA
Rfam family: Bacterial small subunit ribosomal RNA
Source: RNAcentral